Molecule: ribosomal RNA, 600 nt
Filed under: Colletotrichum acutatum
Lineage: Eukaryota; Fungi; Ascomycota; Sordariomycetes; Glomerellales; Glomerellaceae
Description: LSU rRNA
Rfam family: Eukaryotic large subunit ribosomal RNA
Source: RNAcentral
GUUGACCUCGGAUCAGGUAGGAAUACCCGCUGAACUUAAGCAUAUCAAUAAGCGGAGGAAAAGAAACCAACAGGGAUUGCCCCAGUAACGGCGAGUGAAGCGGCAACAGCUCAAAUUUGAAAUCUGGCCCCAGGCCCGAGUUGUAAUUUGCAGAGGAUGCUUUUGGCGCGGUGCCUUCCGAGUUCCCUGGAACGGGACGCCAUAGAGGGUGAGAGCCCCGUACGGUUGGACACCAAGCCUUUGUAAAGCUCCUUCGACGAGUCGAGUAGUUUGGGAAUGCUGCUCUAAAUGGGAGGUACAUUUCUUCUAAAGCUAAAUAUUGGCCAGAGACCGAUAGCGCACAAGUAGAGUGAUCGAAAGAUGAAAAGCACUUUGAAAAGAGGGUUAAACAGCACGUGAAAUUGUUAAAAGGGAAGCGCUUGUGACCAGACUUGCGUCCGGUGAAUCACCCAGCUCUCGCGGCUGGGGCACUUCGCCGGCACAGGCCAGCAUCAGCUUGCCGUCGGGGACAAAAGCUUCAGGAACGUGGCUCCUCUCGGGGAGUGUUAUAGCCUGUUGCAUAAUACCCUUCGGCGGGCUGAGGUACGCGCUCCGCAAGGU